This 253-nucleotide ribosomal RNA is filed under the name uncultured bacterium. Its description in RNAcentral is "partial 16S ribosomal RNA". It matches the Rfam family "Bacterial small subunit ribosomal RNA", at positions 524 to 776 of the family's 1533-position model. The record is from RNAcentral.
UACGGAGGGAGCUAGCGUUGUUCGGAAUUACUGGGCGUAAAGCGCACGUAGGCGGCUUUGUAAGUUAGAGGUGAAAGCCUGGAGCUCAACUCCAGAAUUGCCUUUAAGACUGCAUCGCUUGAAUCCAGGAGAGGUGAGUGGAAUUCCGAGUGUAGAGGUGAAAUUCGUAGAUAUUCGGAAGAACACCAGUGGCGAAGGCGGCUCACUGGACUGGUACUGACGCUGAGGUGCGAAAGCGUGGGGAGCAAACAGG